UGGUGGGGUAACGGCCUACCAAGGCGACGACGGGUAGCUGGUCUGAGAGGACGACCAGCCACACUGGAACUGAGAUACGGUCCAGACUCCUACGGGAGGCAGCAGUGGGGAAUAUUGCACAAUGGGCGAAAGCCUGAUGCAGCGACGCCGCGUGAGGGAUGACGGCCCUCGGGUUGUAAACCUCUUUCGGCAGGGACGAAGCGAAAGUGACGGUACCUGCAGAAGAAGUCCCGGCUAACUACGUGCCAGCAGCCGCGGUAAGACGUAGGGGACGAGCGUUGUCCGGAUUUAUUGGGCGUAAAGCGCGCGUAGGCGGCUAUGCAAGUCGGUUGCGAAAUCCCGGGGCUCAACCCCGGGACUGCGUCCGAUACUGUGUGGCUAGAGGUAGGUAGGGGAGAUCGGAAUUCCUGGUGUAGCGGUGAAAUGCGCAGAUAUCAGGAGGAACACCGGUGGCGAAGGCGGAUCUCUGGGCCUUACCUGACGCUCAGGCGCGAAAGCUAGGGGAGCGAACAGGAUUAGAUACCCUGGUAGUCCUAGCCGUAAACGUUGGGUGCUAGGUGUGGGCGGAUAU
This 571-nucleotide ribosomal RNA is filed under the name uncultured Actinomycetes bacterium. RNAcentral's name for it is "bacterial SSU rRNA". It matches the Rfam family "Bacterial small subunit ribosomal RNA", at positions 250 to 833 of the family's 1533-position model. The record is from RNAcentral. Lineage: Bacteria; Bacillati; Actinomycetota; Actinomycetes.